This 467-nucleotide ribosomal RNA is filed under the name uncultured bacterium. RNAcentral's name for it is "partial 16S ribosomal RNA". It matches the Rfam family "Bacterial small subunit ribosomal RNA", at positions 28 to 506 of the family's 1533-position model. The record is from RNAcentral.
GACGAACGCUGGCGGCGUGCUUAACACAUGCAAGUCGAACGGAAAGGCCCUGCUUUUGUGGGGUGCUCGAGUGGCGAACGGGUGAGUAACACGUGAGUAACCUGCCCUUGACUUUGGGAUAACUUCAGGAAACUGGGGCUAAUACCGGAUAGGAGCUCCUGCUGCAUGGUGGGGGUUGGAAAGUUUCGGCGGUUGGGGAUGGACUCGCGGCUUAUCAGCUUGUUGGUGGGGUAGUGGCUUACCAAGGCUUUGACGGGUAGCCGGCCUGAGAGGGUGACCGGCCACAUUGGGACUGAGAUACGGCCCAGACUCAUACGGGAGGCAGCAGUGGGGAAUAUUGCACAAUGGGCGGAAGCCUGAUGCAGCAACGCCGCGUGCGGGAUGACGGCCUUCGGGUUGUAAACCGCUUUCGCCUGUGACGAAGCGUGAGUGACGGUAAUGGGGAAAGAAGCACCGGCUAACUACGU